RNAcentral lists this ribosomal RNA (303 nucleotides) under uncultured bacterium. RNAcentral's name for it is "partial 16S ribosomal RNA". It matches the Rfam family "Bacterial small subunit ribosomal RNA", at positions 507 to 808 of the family's 1533-position model. The record is from RNAcentral.
AGCAGUCGCCACGGUAAUACGUAGGUCCCGAGCGUUGUCCGGAUUUAUUGGGCGUAAAGCGAGCGCAGGCGGUUAGAUAAGUCUGAAGUUAAAGGCUGUGGCUUAACCAUAGUACGCUUUGGAAACUGUUUAACUUGAGUGCAAGAGGGGAGAGUGGAAUUCCAUGUGUAGCGGUGAAAUGCGUAGAUAUAUGGAGGAACACCGGUGGCGAAAGCGGCUCUCUGGCUUGUAACUGACGCUGAGGCUCGAAAGCGUGGGGAGCAAACAGGAUUAGAUACCCGAGUAGUCCCUGUCUCUUAUACA